Molecule: ribosomal RNA, 935 nt
Filed under: Bacillus pumilus
Lineage: Bacteria; Bacillati; Bacillota; Bacilli; Caryophanales; Bacillaceae
Description: bacterial SSU rRNA
Rfam family: Bacterial small subunit ribosomal RNA
Source: RNAcentral
AGGAGGUGGCGGUGCUAUACAUGCGUCGAGCGGACAGAAGGGAGCUUGCUCCCGGAUGUUAGCGGCGGACGGGUGAGUAACACGUGGGUAACCUGCCUGUAAGACUGGGAUAACUCCGGGAAACCGGAGCUAAUACCGGAUAGUUCCUUGAACCGCAUGGUUCAAGGAUGAAAGACGGUUUCGGCUGUCACUUACAGAUGGACCCGCGGCGCAUUAGCUAGUUGGUGAGGUAACGGCUCACCAAGGCGACGAGCGUAGCCGACCUGAGAGGGUGAUCGGCCACACUGGGACUGAGACACGGCCCAGACUCCUACGGGAGGCAGCAGUAGGGAAUCUUCCGCAAUGGACGAAAGUCUGACGGAGCAACGCCGCGUGAGUGAUGAAGGUUUUCGGAUCGUAAAGCUCUGUUGUUAGGGAAGAACAAGUGCAAGAGUAACUGCUUGCACCUUGACGGUACCUAACCAGAAAGCCACGGCUAACUACGUGCCAGCAGCCGCGGUAAUACGUAGGUGGCAAGCGUUGUCCGGAAUUAUUGGGCGUAAAGGGCUCGCAGGCGGUUUCUUAAGUCUGAUGUGAAAGCCCCCGGCUCAACCGGGGAGGGUCAUUGGAAACUGGGAAACUUGAGUGCAGAAGAGGAGAGUGGAAUUCCACGUGUAGCGGUGAAAUGCGUAGAGAUGUGGAGGAACACCAGUGGCGAAGGCGACUCUCUGGUCUGUAACUGACGCUGAGGAGCGAAAGCGUGGGGAGCGAACAGGAUUAGAUACCCUGGUAGUCCACGCCGUAAACGAUGAGUGCUAAGUGUUAGGGGGUUUCCGCCCCUUAGUGCUGCAGCUAACGCAUUAAGCACUCCGCCUGGGGAGUACGGUCGCAAGACUGAAACUCAAAGGAAUUGACGGGGGCCCGCACAAGCGGUGGAGCAUGUGGUUUAAUUCGAA